GUUCGUACCAUCUUCCCACAAGAAUAAUAGAAAGGAUCAACUAGAAUCAUUAUUCUAUGACUAUACUCAAACAAUCUAUUAACCUAGGCUCUGAUACCAAACAAUGUAGCACCCCACCCCUAGAUCAGGCAAGGGUUUAGUAGCAAAGCUGAGUUUUAGUAGCAUCUCAUGCUGUGGUUCAUACGAUACUAUUAAAACUUGUUCAUCUACCAACAACAUGCCUUUCCC
RNAcentral lists this long non-coding RNA (228 nucleotides) under Elaeis guineensis (African oil palm). RNAcentral's name for it is "long non-coding RNA (EGUI_LNC017435)". Lineage: Eukaryota; Viridiplantae; Streptophyta; Magnoliopsida; Arecales; Arecaceae. The record is from RNAcentral.